CUUUUAUGCAAAAAACAGGCGAUAAUAAAUGCUGAUGAGGAUGUAGAGAAAAGGGAAGGCUUGUACACUGUUGGUGGGAAUGUAAACUAGUGCAACCACUAUGGAAAACAGUUUGGAGAUUCCUCGAAAAACUAAAAACAGAGCUACCAUAUGAUCCAGCAAUCCUACUGGUAAGUAAACAUACAAAAGAAAUUAAAUCAGUACAAGGGAGAGUUAUCUGCUAUCUCAUGUUUGUUGCAGCACUGUUCACAAUAACCAAAAUUUGGAAGCAACCUACAUGCCCAUCAACAGAGGAAUGGAUAAAGAAAAUAUGGUACAUAUACACAAUGGAGUACUAUUCAGCCAUAAAAAGACUGAGAUUCUGUCCUUUGCAACAAGAUGAAUGGAACUGAAGAUAAUUAUUUAAAGUGAAAUAAGCCAAGCACAUAAAGACAAACAUCACAUGUUCUCACUUAUUUGUGGGAUCUAAACAUCUAAACAAUUGAACUCAUGGACAUA
Molecule: long non-coding RNA, 498 nt
Filed under: Homo sapiens (human)
Lineage: Eukaryota; Metazoa; Chordata; Mammalia; Primates; Hominidae
Description: HSALNT0167858
Source: RNAcentral